AUUGAACGCUGGCGGCAGGCCUAACACAUGCAAGUCGAAUGGUAACAGGAAACAGCUUGCUGUUUCGCUGACGAGUGGCGGACGGGUGAGUAAUGUCUGGGAAACUGCCUGAUGGAGGGGGGAAAACAAUGGGAAAGGUAACCAAAACCCCAAAAACGCCGAAAGACAAAAAGGGGGGACUUUGGGGCCCUUGCCAUUAGGAGGGGCCAGAUGGGGUUUGCUAGUAGGGGGGGGAACGGCUCACCCAGGCGACGCUCCCUAGCUGGUCUGAGAGGAUGACCAGCCACACUGGAACUGAGACACGGUCCAGACUCCUACGGGAGGCAGCAGUGGGGAAUAUUGCACAAUGGGCGCAAGCCUGAUGCAGCCAUGCCGCGUGUAUGAAGAAGGCCUUCGGGUUGUAAAGUACUUUCAGCGGGGAGGAAGGGAGUAAAGUUAAUACCUUUGCUCAUUGACGUUACCCGCAGAAGAAGCACCGGCUAACUCCGUG
Molecule: ribosomal RNA, 490 nt
Filed under: uncultured bacterium
Lineage: Bacteria
Description: partial 16S ribosomal RNA
Rfam family: Bacterial small subunit ribosomal RNA
Source: RNAcentral